RNAcentral lists this ribosomal RNA (253 nucleotides) under uncultured bacterium. RNAcentral describes it as "partial 16S ribosomal RNA". It matches the Rfam family "Bacterial small subunit ribosomal RNA", at positions 524 to 776 of the family's 1533-position model. The record is from RNAcentral.
UACGUAGGGGGCAAGCGUUGUCCGGAUUUAUUGGGCGUAAAGAGCGUGUAGGCGGCUAUACAGGUCCGUUGUGAAAACUCGAGGCUCAACCUCGAGACGCCGAUGGAAACCGUAUGGCUAGAGUCCGGAAGAGGAGAGCGGAAUUCCUGGUGUAGCGGUGAAAUGCGCAGAUAUCAGGAAGAACACCCGUGGCGAAGGCGGCUCUCUGGGACGGUACUGACGCUGAGACGCGAAAGCGUGGGGAGCGAACAAG